ACCCGCUGAAUUUAAGCAUAUCAAUAAGCGGAGGAAAAGAAACCAACAGGGAUUGCCUCAGUAACGGCGAGUAAAGCGGCAACAGCUCAAAUUUGAAAUCUGGCCUCACGGUCCGAGCUGUAAUUUGUAGAGGAUGCUUUUGGCGAGGUGCUUUCCGAGUUCCCUGGAACGGGACGCCAUAGAGGGUGAGAGCCCCGUACGGUAAGACCACCGAGCCUCUGUAAAGCUCCUUCGACGAGUCGAGUAGUUUGGGAAUGCUGCUCUAAAUGGGAGGUGUACGUCUUCUAAAGCUAAAUACCGGCCAGAGACCGAUAGCGCACAAGUAGAGUGAUCGAAAGAUGAAAAGCACUUUGAAAAGAGGGUUAAAAAGUACGUGAAAUUGUUGAAAGGGAAGCAUUCAUGACCAGACUUGGGCUUGGUUGAACAUCCGGCGUUCUCGCCGGUGCACUCUGCCAGUCCAGGCCAGCAUCAGUUUGCCCCGGGGGACAAAGGCGGUGGGAAUGUGGCUCUCUUCGGGGAGUGUUAUAGCCCGCCGUGUAAUGCCCUGGGGUGGACUGAGGAACGCGCUUCGGCACGGAUGCUGGCGUAAUGGUCAUCAAUGACCCGUCUUGAAACACGGACCAAGGAG
Molecule: ribosomal RNA, 628 nt
Filed under: uncultured fungus
Lineage: Eukaryota; Fungi
Description: eukaryotic LSU rRNA
Rfam family: Eukaryotic large subunit ribosomal RNA
Source: RNAcentral